UACGAAGGGGGCUAGCGUUGCUCGGAAUCACUGGGCGUAAAGGGUGCGUAGGCAGGUCUUUAAGUCAGGGGUGAAAUCCUGGAGCUCAACUCCAGAACUGCCUUUGAUACUGAGGAGCUUGAGUUCGGGAGAGGUGAGUGGAACUGCGAGUGUAGAGGUGAAAUUCGUAGAUAUUCGCAAGAACACCAGUGGCGAAGGCGGCUCACUGGCCCGAUACUGACGCUGAGGUGCGAAAGCGUGGGGAGCAAACAGG
This 253-nucleotide ribosomal RNA is filed under the name uncultured bacterium. Its description in RNAcentral is "partial 16S ribosomal RNA". It matches the Rfam family "Bacterial small subunit ribosomal RNA", at positions 524 to 776 of the family's 1533-position model. The record is from RNAcentral.